UACACAAUGUGACAAUAAAAACCAAAAUUAAGUAGUAGAAAACAAAAUCGUUAACAAUUAAACAAGCGAGUUGCAUUACAACAACAACAACAACAACAGCCAUCACAAAAAGGAAGCGCAUUGAAAACAACAACAAUCACAUAACAUCAACAACAAACAACAACAACAACAACUUAGCUGCCUUUAAUGCUGCAUAUAUCCUGAAUAUCCUGCACAUUUAACAUCUCGUUGUUUAGCGUCUCUGUCCAAGUCCUUGUGUGUGUCUGUAACUCUGUGUGUGUGUGUGUAUUUGUCCUUAGACUGCAAUCCAAAGCAACGCCCACCCGCCCCCCAACAACUCCGACUACACACACCUACUAGCUUUCUUGCUCUCUCUCUCUCUCUCUUUCUUUCUUUCUCUCUGUCUUUCUCUUUCUCUGUCUCUGUGUGUCUCUUUAUUCUCACCUCGGCAGCCCUGUUCAUUGGGUGUCUAGCACUACUAAGCACUAGCACCACAGCACCACUAGCAAUCAACAGCGCAGCCAAAGCAACGGGCCAACAAUCAAGAACCACUCGAACCACUCGAACUCGUACUCAAUUUCGAACUCGAAGUCGAUAUCGAAUAACAAGUACCACCACCACUACCACCACCGUUACAGUUAGCCAACGACCAGGUCAGUGUCUGUGUGAUUACCCCACUCCUGCUCGCCACACCACCCACAUACCAGCACCACAAUUGCACAUUACUACCAUAGAUACCCACGGCAGUAUUACUACCGCAUGGAGCGCGGCACCAGCGGUGGUCAGCAGCAACAGUCGCAGUCGCACCACCACCAACAGCAGCAGCAGCAGCAGCACCACCACCAUCAACAGCACCACCAACAGCAGCAGCAACAGUCGCGACAUCAGCAUGUGGUAUCUGUCCAUAGCUAUGAUCCGUAUUUGAUUGCCGGCGAUGCGGAUGAGGAGCAUACCUCGGGCACAUCCUCCUUUGAUAAUCCCGCCACCAAAAAGAAACCACCCAAGCUGAAGCCCAUCCACCGCUCGCUGUCGAUGGCCAUUGAUAAUUAUGCACCGAUAGCUAGUGAACUUGAUUUAGAUUUAGACGAUGGCUUUAUUGUGCAUGAGCAGCCGCUGAUCCACCGCUCGGCGUCGCCGCUGCCCGUGCGAUCGUCUGCACCGCCGCAGACCCUAGCACUCCCACCACAACAACAACAUAUACCCCAACAACAACAACAACAUACGCAUGUAGCUGGUGGCAGCGGUUCCGUAUCGCCGGCACUAUCUGCACGCCAGCACCACCACCUACAACAACAACAACAACAGCACCACCAACAACAACAACAACAGCAGCAACAACUGCAUAUGCACACUUUUCAGCAGCUGGCCGCACAAGCAGCCGCUGCACGACACCACCAGUUGCCAACACAUACGCAUGCGCCACAUCAGCACCACCGUCAGCACACGCACUCGAGCUCCACCAGCUCACCCACCUCGCAUGCGGUCAGCCCAGUGCUUGGCCAGCAGCAGCAGCAGCAGCAGCAGCAACAUCAACAGCAGCAGCAGCAGCAGCAGCACCACCGACAACAGCAACCACAGCCAGAUAUUUAUUUGGUCAGCAGCAGCAGCCUGGGCGACAAUGUGGGUCUGGGCAUGUCGCUUGGCCUGGGCCGCUCAACGCUGGGCGGCAGCGGCAGCACAUCACCAAUUCAAUUCAUUGAUGUCGAUGAUAUGCUGCCGCACCACCCGCACCACACGCAUCAACAACAACAACAGCAACAACAGCAGCAGCAGCAGCAGCAGCUGCAGCUGAAAAAGAAUCUCUUUCGGCGCUCAGACACAAUUGACGUUCAUCCGUCUACCAAUUUUCAGAUGAAGAAAACGCAUUCCUUCCACGCCCAACAGGAUCCCGCCGCCAUGGAGCAAAUACAAUUGGCCGUCGCCGCUGGCUCGGCCAGCUCCAGUCGUCGCACCAGCUCGGUGCGUGCCAACUUUCUGAUGCCCGGCCCGCCGGCUGGCGGCAAGGAGAUCUCCCGUUCGCCCUCGCCCAGUCGACGGGGCUGUCGAUCGCAUCGCUCCUUCAACGAUCCCGGCCGACGGCCGAGCAGCAAGCCCGACUCGGUGGUGGAGUCGCAGAUACGGCAUCCAUCGCUGAACGAUGAUCUGAUUGAACCGCUCGACGGCCGUUCCCUGUUCCCCCAGUCGAAUCUGUCGCUGGAGAAUGAGCUCUUUGUGGAGUCGCGCUCGCGCAGCAAUAGCCAUACCAAAAUGGACGAGCUGGGCGUGGCAGAGCUGGCAGCCGCCGCUGUGGCCGUGCAGCGGAUACAGCGCAAGAGUUCCGGUUCGUUUGAUGAGACGGCGCCUGGUCUGAUUGUCGCCGCCGGUCACAGCGCCACCCAUCCGCCCGCCGCCUCCGCCUCGAACAGCAUCAAGCAGAAGCCACACCAUGUGCCCCACUCCCGUCAGCAGAGCACCCACAGCCUGGAGCUGGACGGCCGUCCGUCCACCAGCAAGCUGCACAGCGCUGCCGCCGCUGCCAGCGCCGCGUACCACUUCAAGCGCGGCGCGCAACACGGACGCUCACUGUACCUGUCGCCCAGCAACCUGGAGGAGCUGACCGUGCACCGGCCCGGCGUCCUGGCGGCCGCCGCCGCCUUCCAGGGCACCAACGCCAGCGCCAGCGUCAAGCAGGCCAAGGCGCUGCACAGCGCCAGCGUGCGACUGCGCAGCUACCGGGAGGCGCUGAGUGCGACCAAGAAGUCCAAGAGCUUCAUUGGCGGCGAUGCCAGCGGUGCUGCGGACGAUGACUUCGAGCUUAGUUCACCCCACCGGCGCAACAGCCGUCCGCUGUCGACGGCGGUGCCCAGCGUCAGUGCCGCCGGCGUUGUCAACGUGGACGAGAUCAAGCGCAGUCCACGGCCGAUAUCUGCGGCACAGGUGGCCGCCGCCUUCAUCGAGGAGAAGCGGCCGUCGUUCGAGCGCAAAUCCUCGCUGACCUACGAGCAGGAGCUGACGGAUGCCGCCUUUGCGGCCCAGGUGCUGCGUCCCUUCCAUCAUAAGCUGGCGGCGGGCCGCAAGGCCUCGCUCAGUGGCGGCUCGCACAAGCUCAAAAAGAAAUCGCUGAGCGAUGAGACGGACGAGGAUGAGGAGGCGGAUCGCAAACGGAAGCGAAUCGUCUGCAUUGUCCUGGCCACGGUGCUGCUGUGCCUGGUCUGCGCCAGUGUGUUCGUGGUCAUUGUCACCCUCACCUCCGGCCAGAGUCAGUCCGGCAAGAAGCCGCACUCGUUCAGCAGGGAUACGCCCGUACACUAUACGGGCAUGCGGCCGUCAUGAACUAGGACAGCGAUAACUGCGAUAUCAACAAUCGGUAGACGCCUUUGCCCCAAUGCCGUUUCCUGUUUGAUAUUUUCGGCUUUCACUUCCGUUUCCGCUGCGCUUGCUACCAAUUCUUCUUCUUCCACUUCUGCUACUACUACCACCACUACUACUACUACUACUACUACUACUACUACUACUACUUCAUGUCUCCUGUGCCCUGCUCUCUGUGUGUGCGUGCGUGUAAUUGUGAGCCAGUUCGAUUGUCCACUUCCACUCCAGUGCCAGCGCAACAAAACAGUUGACAAAUUGCCCAACGAUGUCCAGGAGCAACAACAACAACAACAACAACAACAAUUGGCUACAAUUCCUGCGAAUUGCCAUUGAAAAGAUAAACACAUACAAACACGCGUCUUUCGCCAGGAGAACGAGCGCAGCAUGCGUGAGAAUCUGGAACGCACGCUCAUGAUGAAGAAUAUGACGGAGUUGAAUCUGCAGCGACAGC
Molecule: unclassified non-coding RNA, 3799 nt
Organism: Drosophila navojoa
Lineage: Eukaryota; Metazoa; Arthropoda; Insecta; Diptera; Drosophilidae
Source: RefSeq, a predicted model, not a curated record